AGAGUUUGAUCCUGGCUCAGGACGAACGCUGGCGGCGUGCUUUAAACAUGCAAGUCGAACGGAGAACCACCUUCGGGUGGGGAUCAGUGGCGAACGGGUGAGUAACACGUGAGUAACCUGCCCUGCACACUGGAAUAACCCCGGGAAACCGGGGCUAAUACCGGAUGUUGAUACCUCGAGGCAUCUUGAGGUGUUGAAAGGGUUUCUGGUGCGGGAUGGACUCGCGGCCUAUCAGCUUGUUGGUGGGGUAAUGGCCUACCAAGGCGACGACGGGUAGCCGGCCUGAGAGGGCGACCGGCCACACUGGGACUGAGACACGGCCCAGACUUCUACGGAAGGCAGCAGUUGGGAAUAUUGCGCAAUGGGCGAAAGCCUGACGCAGCAACGCCGCGUGAGGGAAUGAAGGCCUUAGGGCUGUAAACCUCUUUCAGCAGGGACGAAGCGAAAGUGACGGUACCUGCAAAAGAAGCACCGGCUAACUACGUGCCAGCAGCCGCGGUAAUACGUAGGGUGCAAGCGUUGUCCGGAUUUAUUGGGCGUAAAGGGCUCGUAGGCGGCCUGUCACGUCGGAAGAGAAAACCCGGGGCUCAACCCCGGGCCUGCUUUCGAUACGGGCAGGCUUGAGUUCGGUAGGGGAGACUGGAACUCCUGGUGUAGCGGUGGAAUGCGCAGAUAUCAGGAAGAACACCGAUGGCGAAGGCAGGUCUCUGGGCCGAUACUGACGCUGAGGAGCGAAAGCGUGGGGAGCAAACAGGAUUAGAUACCCUGGUAGUCCACGCCGUAAACGGUGGGCGCUAGGUGUGGGGAAUCAUCUACAUUCUCCGCGCCGCAGCUAACGCAUUAAGCGCCCCGCCUGGGGAGUACGGCCGCAAGGCUAAAACUCAAAGGAAUUGACGGGGGCCCGCACAAGCGGCGGAGCAUGCGGCUUAAUUCGAUGCAACGCGAAGAACCUUACCUAGGCUUGACAUAUACGGGAAGCAGGCAGAGAUGUCUGUGCCUUCGGGCUCGUAUACAGGUGGUGCAUGGCUGUCGUCAGCUCGUGUCGUGAGAUGUUGGGUUAAGUCCCGCAACGAGCGCAACCCUCGUUCUAUGUUGCCAGCGGAUAAUGCCGGGGACUCAUAGGAGACUGCCGGGGUCAACUCGGAGGAAGGUGGGGACGACGUCAAGUCAUCAUGCCCCUUACGUCUAGGGCUGCACGCAUGCUACAAUGGCCGGUACAAAGGGCUGCGAAACCGCAAGGUUAAGCGAAUCCCAUAAAGCCGGUCUCAGUUCGGAUUGGGGUCUGCAACUCGACCCCAUGAAGUCGGAGUCGCUAGUAAUCGCAGAUCAGCAACGCUGCGGUGAAUACGUUCCCGGGCCUUGUACACACCGCCCGUCACGUCACGAAAGUCGGUAACACCCGAAGCCGGUGGCCCAACCCUUGUGGAGGGAGCCGUCGAAGGUGGGACUGGCGAUUGGGACGAAGUCGAAACAAGGUA
RNAcentral lists this ribosomal RNA (1478 nucleotides) under metagenome. RNAcentral describes it as "bacterial SSU rRNA". It matches the Rfam family "Bacterial small subunit ribosomal RNA". The record is from RNAcentral.